GACGGGGGUCUGCACGGGGGUUAAUUAGGUGAACACCACAGUGGAUACCUCCAUCCUUUGUUUACAUAAUUACACACAGGUGAAUAACGUUGAUGGUAAAAGCUGGUGAUUGGUGCACGGGGGAAAAGCUUGAGCUUUUAGGGACCCUGCUUGUAGUCACUUCACGUGUCUUGGUGGGGAAAACGGUUGCACGUUGCAGAGUGAGAGUGGACUAUCGCGAGUGGAGCGAAGACGGAGUGGCUUUGCCAACCGGAGGAAUAGCUGUUCCAAGACCACCGCCUUGCCUGUGGCCUGUGAAGUUGUCUGGGUGAAUCCCGCUCCUACACACUGCGUUGUUGGAUGUCUGAUGGGUGAAAUCGUUCACCCCUCACGAAGUUAAGUUAUUGUUUACUGUGCUACCUAGCUGUCGCUAACCCCUUGUGACUGUGAACCUUGGAUUACGAUUGUUAUCAUCUUAUUUAUGAGGGAUCGCUGUAUUCUGCCUUCCCUCUGAGAACUGCCACUGCUCUGCGUCUGCUUAACUUUGUGACUGUGUAGUUACUAUAUUGUGCACGCCAUUGACUUUGAACGUGCGUGUUGCUUUACCAAGAACUGUCCGAAUGCUUUGUGCUUGUCCGACACAUUUCCCACUGUGACUGUAGCUAUAUUGCACACGCUAUUGAUUUUGCACUGCUUUAUCGGUACUGUUUGAAUGCUUUGGGCCUGCCUGAUAUGAACUCUGUGGCUGUGUAGCUACUAUAUGGCCCACGCUUGUUGAUUGCAAUUGCGUGUUGCCUCCAGAACUGUCCGAUGCUAAAUGUGAACAAAUGCCCACUGUGAACUCAAUUUUAUCUCUGUGACUGUGCAAGCUACUAUAAGACUCACGGCUAUUAUCCCUGUCGCCUCAUUAAGAACUGCCUAUGCCCAUAGCCUAUUGCUAUUGCUCCUGCUUUGAGUUGACUGUGUGAAAAUAUUAUUACCCCUCUCUCUGGACUGUGCCCCUUAUCCACCUCCUCUGCCCUCCCCUCGCCAAUCAGAGUAACGUGGGCCAGCGUAGUGUAACCCCCAGCAGCCUAGCCUUAAUUGUAACAAUUGUGCAGCCACUGCCGUCCAGGGUGAGACUGGAUUACAACCUGGCCUGCUGCGACCAUUGGAGACCACCGGGGUGGAGAGCCGGCGACACAACGACCAGAGUGGGUGCGGUAGCCUACACUACAUCUGGUAUACAAUUCCGGACCCUCGACUGACGGACUGGAGAAGGGGGCGACUGGCGGCAACGGGGACUAUCCUUCAGUAUUUUCUAUUGCCAAGAAAUAACCUCUUUUAAUGACACUUUAAAUAAAACAUUUCUUAAUUAA
Long non-coding RNA from Alosa sapidissima (American shad), 1337 nucleotides. RefSeq lists it as uncharacterized. The record is from RefSeq and is a predicted model, not a curated record. The transcript is spliced from 2 exons. NCBI's taxonomy places the organism in Eukaryota, Metazoa, Chordata, Actinopteri, Clupeiformes, Clupeidae.